RNAcentral lists this long non-coding RNA (2746 nucleotides) under Pan troglodytes (chimpanzee). RNAcentral's name for it is "lincRNA". The record is from RNAcentral. Lineage: Eukaryota; Metazoa; Chordata; Mammalia; Primates; Hominidae.
GAAAAGAAAAAGGAAGACACUCUUACUGGUCAGAGGAGAGAACACAAUUCCUUCAGUGGAACCAGUAAUUCAAGCUACUGCAUAUGCCAAUUAAAGACCAAUUUGGGGAAAGGUGGAUGCCCUGGGCUCCAUCUGCCAUUCAACCACUGAUUACGGCCUUGUACGGAUGGACUUUCAGCAGCAGGAACCCAAAAUCAUUGGUGAAAUAGGAAAGCUAUUGUACAGAUGUUAGAAAAAUAAGACCUUCACAGUCAUCAGAAAAGUUAUCACUUAAUGUCAUGUGUCAUCAGUCCUUCUUUCUUGUGAUUGAUUAUGUUUGUAUACAUGCACUUGAAAUGUGUUUUUAAAAGAGUAUUAUAAGAGAUAUUUUUCCAAUAAGUACAACAAGUAUUCAAUAAUAGAACAAAUAGAACAUUGAUAUCUCAUUAUUAGUAUUGCUCACAUCUAUAUUAUGAGGCAGAAUUAAAGUUGAAAUGCAAUAAGAGCCAUAUUUUAUCAUAAUAGAUAUUUUUCAUUUUCUGAAAUAAUAUAAUAAAAUAAUGUGGUUGGUUAAAGUAUGUACACACAGGCUAUCAAUUAAGAUGUUUUAAAUUUAAUUAAAUAUUAAAUAAUAAAAGCCACAAGGGGAAGUAAGGGAAGUAAGACAAUUCUUUCUUUAACAUACAACACAUUUAAAUGUUUUCUGAUAAUUAUAGAAAUAUCAAAAUCAGAUCAAUCUUCAUACCUCAGAAAAUUAAAUGAUUAAAUACUGGGGACUAUUAAAACAAAUAAAACUGUUUAUUCCACAACUUUGCACAGCUAAAAAAAAAUAUUCUAUCAUGUCUAGAAACACGUUUCUGACAUAUGCACACCUCACCAGCAUACCUCAGGUUAUUAUACACCUCCAACCACAGCCUCACGGUGGCAGGCAGUCAGUAAGAUGGACCCCAGUGAUCCCUGCCUCCUGGUAUUCACAGUCUAGGGUAAUCUCCUUCCCUGAGUGUGAGCCUGUGGCUUACUUCUAACCAAUAAGAGUACAGAAAAAGCAAUGGGAUGUCAAUUCUGUGAGUUUGUAAAAUUGUAACUUCCAUCUUGCAAGCUAACUCUCUUCUUUGCUGGCUUUCAUGACGCAAUAUACCAUGUUGGAGAGGCUCGCGUGGCGAAGAACUGAGAGGCCUGUAGGAACGAAGUCCAAUAGCCAGGUAGGAAGGAGUCCCUCAGUCCCACAACCCAAGGAAACUGAAUUCUGUCAACUAACACGCAUGUAAGUGAGCUUGGAAGUGACUUGUUCCCCAAGUGAGUCUUCAGAUGAGGUCCUAGCCAACUUUUUGAUUGCAGCUUGUGACACACCCUGAAGCAAAGGACUCAGCUAAGUUGUGUCCUAAUUCCUCCACUGUGAGAAAAUAAAUGUGUGUUUUUUAAAAUGCUAAAUUUGUGGUAAUUUUUAUUCAGUAAUAGAUAGCUAAUACAUGCAUGUACAUACAAACACAUGCACACACACAGUAUUUGGCUUUCACACUGAGGAGAACACAGUUAGUAGGCCCUUUUCAUGUGGCUUUUAAGGUAGCACAAUUACUUUUCUUCGUCUGUGAUCCACCUUUGUGUUCUUCAGGUUCUUUUCCAGGCCUUUGCCCCGAGUGUGUGGGGGACCAAAGGGAUGUCAUGCUGUAUGGAUGGUAUUGCAUAUUCAUAUCCUUGGAUCUGAAAGUAGUCCUAGAACAUAUCCUAAGGAGAUCAUCUAUCAAGAUUAGAGAAUUUCCUUCAUGAUGUUGUUUAUCGUGGCAAAACUAGGAACAACCUGAAUACCAGUCCCUCCAAGAAGCUAUUGAAUAAUAUGGGUAUCCCUGUUCAGGAAAAAUGCAAACAAACCACUAAAAAGAGUAAAAUAAUCUUUAUUGAUAUGAAAAGAUGUUUAAUGUUUACUAUUACAUUUUUAAAAGAAGUUAAAAAUCUCGUUAAAAACUAGUUUAAAACCCACUCUUAUUCCAUACUUGUAUUAUAGAUAAUAUAUAUGUAGUUUUUUUUAAGUAGAAAAAUUUCUGGAAAAAUACUUAUAAAAAUGCUAUUUGUUUUCUAUGGAUAGAGUAAAACCAGAUAAGUGAAAGAAAAUACCCGUGUUUUCUAUAUUUUCUACAAUGUUUAUUCCUGAAUAGAUGUUUCAAGGCUUUCAUUAUGUUCAUAGAUUAAUUGAAGUGAAUGGAAACUGUUUCUUAGACAACCUAAAAUAUAUCCCAAUUCCAACUUCCAGGUCUGUCUUCAUUGCUUCGAGUGCAGUUGUAUGAAAUACUUCUCAGUGAGGCCAAAUUUCUUAAUAAUGAUUAAUUCCAGUUUCAUUUUUCACCCUCUUCAUUCCAUUUGAGAAGAGUAGUGGAAAGGAGUAUGGUACCAUACCCCACACUUUAGACCUAUGGUCUUGUAGAACUUCUUAGGGAUCUACUUUAAUAAAAAUUUAAUUUGCUGGUUACAUCAGAUGAUGUCACACAGUUAAUGAGCAUUCUCUCCUAUGCUGUACCUUCUCUGUUCUACUAAUAUAGCUAUGGUCAAUUUUUCUAUCAUGGAGAAGAACUGAAUCUGUGGAUAACUCCUACUAUUUUUCUGGAAGUAAAAAUUUAACUGUUAUGUUGUAGAAAAUUCAAAUAUAUAUGAUUCCUUUAUAUAAACUAUGUACACAUAUGAUUAAUCCAUUGAUUAACACCUGUUUUCAGUAAUGUUAAUGCCAUCUUGAUCAUAACAUUUAAUUAAAAGGUGACAAAUGUUAGUUAAGUAA